GAGGUGUGGCUACUCUUAUUUUAAGAGGAUGCACUUCUCAGAAAUGAAAGUGCUUCCCAAGAGGACAUGAUGAAAAAGCUUAUAACCCUGUUGGGGGGAAUCCCCAGACGUCCCUUACUUGUACACCGAUGGUAUAAAUUCACCAGUCCUCCUCUGACUUCACCACACACUGCUGACCAUCUGAGCUGCAAACACACACACUGAAGAAGCACUGUCAUGGCCGACACUAUGAAGACUGCUGUCCUGCUCCUGGUUUCCAGUCUGAUCCUAGUACAAGGGCAGCUGGGUGGUCUCCAGAGUAAGUGCUUGUGCCGGGAUGAAGCCAGGCGGAUCAACCCAAAGCUAGUGACCCAGGUGGAGGUGCACCCCUCCAGCAUCUUCUGCCCACACAAGGAGGUCAUUGUGACUCUGAAGAAUGGAACAAGAAGGUGUCUGAACCCAGAGUCUAAGUUUGCAAAGUUCAUUGAAAACAAAUACAGCACUUAAGAGAACACGGAAUGAUACUUAACAUUGUAGUAUCAUUGUAAGGACCGUGAAGUCCUGUGACCUUCAGACUGGACCCGCCUGAGGAGGGAUGUGAGGUUCUGACCUUGACCAAAGUGCAUUUGAGUUCAUCAUUGUACACUCUGCAUUCCGUGGGUUUCACUGGACAAGCGGAAACUGUAAAUGUCACCAUGCACCUCAGCCCUGACUGCUGUUCCCCUCAGCCCUGACUGCUGUUCCCCUCAGCCCAGACUGCUGUUCCCCUCAGCCCAGACUGCUGUUCCCCUCAGCCCAGACUGCUGUUCCCCUCAGCCCUGACUGCUGUUCCCCUCAGCCCUGACUGCUGUUCCCCUCAGCUCUGACUGCUGUUCACCUCAGCUCUGACUGCUGUUCACCUCAGCUCUGACUGCUGUUCACCUCAGCCCUGACUGUUGUUCCCCUCAGCCAUGACUGCCGUUCCCCUAAGCCAUGACUGCUUUCCCCCUCAGCCCAGACUGCUGUUCCCCUCAGCCCUGACUGCUGUUCCCCUCAGCUCUGACUGCUGUUCCCCUCAGCUCUGACUGCUGUUCCCCUCAGCCCUGACUGCCGUUCCCCUCAGCCAUGACUGCCGUUCCCCUCAGCCAUGACUGCUUUCCCCCUCAGCCCAGACUGCUGUUCCCCUCAGCCCUGACUGCUGUUCCCCUCAGCCCUGACUGCUGUUCACCUCAGCCCUGACUGCUGUUCCCCUCAGCCCUGACUGCUGUUCACCUCAGCCCUGACUGCUGUUCCCCUCAGCCCUGACUGCUGUUCCCCUCAGCCCAGACUGCUGUUCCCCUCAGCCCAGACUGCUGUUCCCCUCAGCCCUGACUGCGGUUCCCCUCAGCCUGACUGCUGUUCACCGUCCCUGUCCUGCUGUUGGCGGGCUUUGUGUUGCCUUGUGAGAAUGUGAAUGUCUGGUUAUUUAUAUAUGUUUGUCUGUGUGUGGCUUCUUUUAUAUGCCUUUGUAAAGCAUCCUUGUGUGUGUGUAAGGUGCUGUUAAAGGAAACAUUCAUUUGAAUGAAAAACUGAUGUUAGUGUCAUAAGAGUAUUGUUUUACUUGGCCAGUAUAGACUUUUGUUCUUAUUUAAAUUAAUGUGUUUUUAUUAUUGUCAUCAUGACAUGUUUGUCAUUGUAGACUUGGACUAUUUAUAAAUAGUUAACAUGUACAACUUAAUAAACUGUUCAC
This is a long non-coding RNA of Hypomesus transpacificus, 1687 nucleotides long. RefSeq lists it as uncharacterized. The record is from RefSeq and is a predicted model, not a curated record. The transcript is spliced from 4 exons. NCBI's taxonomy places the organism in Eukaryota, Metazoa, Chordata, Actinopteri, Osmeriformes, Osmeridae.